Molecule: long non-coding RNA, 861 nt
Organism: Daphnia magna
Lineage: Eukaryota; Metazoa; Arthropoda; Branchiopoda; Diplostraca; Daphniidae
Exons: 2
Source: RefSeq, a predicted model, not a curated record
ACCGACACAAUUGAAUGAACUCGAGGACGACGUCAUUGACACAUGAAGAAUUGCGUAUAUUUGGUGCAGCCUUCUAGAAAACAUCAAAACAACCCAGAGGGAUCCCCAUCUCGCCCGUGCCAAAUAGGCACUUUUAUCAAGCGCUUAAGGCCCUUCAACUUCAGCCGAUCCGCAAUAACCACACGAUGCCAUCUGACGAGCAGAAACAAAACAUUUUAUAGAGGAAAACUAUGCUUUCGCAACACGCAUUGGUUUUAAAUCAGUCAUAGAUGGGCCACUACGUUUAGUCAAACAUGUUUCUCUGUAAUGUAAGGAAAUUUCAAAAUUAUUUCAUCUCCCAGGACUUCAAAGUUCUAUUUAAAUGACGGAAACAACCAAAAAUCCUAGAUUUUAAAUACUAGUUUCGAACAAUAUUGCUUGCUUAUCUUUGUCCUCACUUGUAUCCUUAUUCACACAACAACUUCGGACCAGCAAAAUAUUGGGAAUUCCUAGCCUAGGUAUCGCUACAGAGGCUAAAAGUUCUUGGCACGGGCACUUAUUCAUUAGCAUCCGACCAGAGGUAAACAAUCGUAGCAGCCAAUCAGGCUUCCAAUGAUCUAGACUGCCAUGGCUUAGGUGAAGGGCCAAAGGUAUAGGUAAACUUAUCAACUAUGGUAUUACGGUGUCGAUAUGGUGUAAACAAUCACGUAGUUGCCUCUCGGUUUUUGUGUGUAAGAAACAAUGAGGGAGAACAUGAAGACUGACAGGAUCAUUCCCUAUCUGAUUCGAAUCACUUUUUUAAAAGCAGGCUCUUCUAGAUUGCCGUACUUCAUCCAUAAAUGUUACCUGUCCUCUGUAAGGAUAAUAAAUAUUAAUUUUUUU